This 391-nucleotide unclassified non-coding RNA is filed under the name soil metagenome. RNAcentral describes it as "partial contains 5.8S ribosomal RNA, internal transcribed spacer 2, and large subunit ribosomal RNA". The stretch from base 5 to 121 matches the Rfam family "5.8S ribosomal RNA", at positions 40 to 154 of the family's 154-position model. The record is from RNAcentral.
GAUGAGAACGUAGCGAAAUGCGAUACUUGGUGUGAAUUGCAGAAUCCCGUGAACCAUCGAGUCUUUGAACGCAAGUUGCGCCCGAAGCCACUAGGCCGAGGGCACGCCUGCCUGGGCGUCACACGCCGUUGCCCCCCCAUCUACUCCUUCGGGAUUGCGGGGGGGCGGAUGAUGGCCUCCCGUGCGCCUAGCCGCGCGGUUGGCAUAAAUACCAAGUCCUCGGCGACGCACGCCACGACAAUCGGUGGUUGCGAAACCUCGGUUGCCCGUCGUGUGCGUUCGUCGCGCAUCGAGGGCUCGAAAAAAUGCUCGGCUCCGGCUGGGCUUUCAACGCGACCCCAGGUCAGGCGGGGUUACCCGCUGAAUUUAAGCAUAUCAAUAAGCGGAGGGA